RNAcentral lists this ribosomal RNA (253 nucleotides) under uncultured bacterium. RNAcentral describes it as "partial 16S ribosomal RNA". It matches the Rfam family "Bacterial small subunit ribosomal RNA", at positions 524 to 776 of the family's 1533-position model. The record is from RNAcentral.
UACGUAGGGUGCAAGCGUUAUCCGGAAUUAUUGGGCGUAAAGAGCUCGUAGGCGGUUUGUCGCGUCUGCUGUGAAAACUGGGGGCUCAACCCCCAGCCUGCAGUGGGUACGGGCAGACUAGAGUGCGGUAGGGGAGAUUGGAAUUCCUGGUGUAGCGGUGGAAUGCGCAGAUAUCAGGAGGAACACCGAUGGCGAAGGCAGAUCUCUGGGCCGUAACUGACGCUGAGGAGCGAAAGCAUGGGGGAGCAACAGG